CCUACGGGUGGCUGCAGUGAGGAAUAUUGGUCAAUGGUCGCUAGCCUGAACCAGCCAAGUAGCGUGAAGGAUGACUGCCCUAUGGGUUGUAAACUUCUUUUAUAUGGGAAUAAAGUGCAGUAUGUAUACUGCUUUGCAUGUACCUUAUGAGUAAGGAUCGGCUAACUCCGUGCCAGCAGCCGCGGUAAUACGGUGGAUUGGAGCGUUAUCCGGGUUGAUUGGGUUAAAAGGAAGAGUAGGCGGGUUGUUACGUCAGUUGUGAAAGUUUGCGGCUCAACCGUAAAAUUGCAGUUGAUACUGGCAUCCUUGAGUACAGUAGAGGUAGGCGGAAUUCGUGGUGUAGCGGUGAAAUGCUUAGACAUCACGAAGAACUCCGAUUGCGAAGGCAGCCUGGACUGUAACUGACGCUGAUGCUCGAAAGUGUGGGUAUCAAACAGGAUUAGAUACCCGUGUAGUC
RNAcentral lists this ribosomal RNA (457 nucleotides) under uncultured bacterium. Its description in RNAcentral is "partial 16S ribosomal RNA". It matches the Rfam family "Bacterial small subunit ribosomal RNA", at positions 338 to 795 of the family's 1533-position model. The record is from RNAcentral.